RNAcentral lists this ribosomal RNA (429 nucleotides) under Bacteroidota bacterium. Its description in RNAcentral is "Bacteroidetes bacterium partial 16S ribosomal RNA". It matches the Rfam family "Bacterial small subunit ribosomal RNA", at positions 355 to 776 of the family's 1533-position model. Lineage: Bacteria; Pseudomonadati; Bacteroidota. The record is from RNAcentral.
UAGGGAAUCUUCCGCAAUGGACUCAAGUCUGACGGAGCAACGCCGCGUGAGUGAAGAAGGAUUUCGGUUCGUAAAACUCUGUUGUUAGAGAAGAACAGCGCAUAGAGUAACUGUUAUGCGUGUGACGGUAUCUAACCAGAAAGCCACGGCUAACUACGUGCCAGCAGCCGCGGUAAUACGUAGGUGGCAAGCGUUGUCCGGAUUUAUUGGGCGUAAAGCGAGCGCAGGCGGUCAAUUAAGUCUGAUGUGAAAGCCCCCGGCUCAACCGGGGAGGGUCAUUGGAAACUGGUUGACUUGAGUGCAGAAGAGGAGAGUGGAAUUCCAUGUGUAGCGGUGAAAUGCGUAGAUAUAUGGAGGAACACCAGUGGCGAAGGCGACUCUCUGGUCUGUAACUGACGCUGAGGUUCGAAAGCGUGGGUAGCAAACAGG